UACGGGGGGGGCAAGCGUUGUUCGGAAUUACUGGGCGUAAAGGGCUCGUAGGUGGCCAACUAAGUCAGACGUGAAAUCCCUCAGCUUAACUGGGGAACUGCGUCUGAUACUGGAUGGCUUGAGUUUGGGAGAGGGAUGCGGAAUUCCAGGUGUAGCGGUGAAAUGCGUAGAUAUCUGGAGGAACACCGGUGGCGAAGGCGGCAUCCUGGACCAAUACUGACACUGAGGAGCGAAAGUGUGGGGAGCGAACAGG
This 253-nucleotide ribosomal RNA is filed under the name uncultured bacterium. RNAcentral describes it as "partial 16S ribosomal RNA". It matches the Rfam family "Bacterial small subunit ribosomal RNA", at positions 524 to 776 of the family's 1533-position model. The record is from RNAcentral.